GACGAACGCUGGCGGCGUGCUUAACACAUGCCAGUCGAACGGAAAGGCCCCCUUGUGGGGUACUCGAGUGGCGAACGGGUGAGUAACACGUGAGUAACCUACCCUUGACUUUGGGAUAACUUCAGGAAACUGGGGCUAAUACCGGAUAGGAGCUCCUGCUGCAUGGUGGGGGUUGGAAAGUUUCGGCGGUUGGGGAUGGGCUCGCGGCUUAUCAGCUUGUUGGUGGGGUAGUGGCUCACCAAGGCUUUGACGGGUAGCCGGCCUGAGAGGGUGACCGGCCACAUUGGGACUGAGAUACGGCCCAGACUCCUACGGGAGGCAGCAGUGGGGAAUAUUGCACAAUGGGCGGAAGCCUGAUGCAGCAACGCCGCGUGCGGGAUGACGGCCUUCGGGUUGUAAACCGCUUUCGCCUGUGACGAAGCGUGAGUGACGGUAAUGGGUAAAGAAGCACCGGCUAACUACGU
This 464-nucleotide ribosomal RNA is filed under the name uncultured bacterium. Its description in RNAcentral is "partial 16S ribosomal RNA". It matches the Rfam family "Bacterial small subunit ribosomal RNA", at positions 28 to 506 of the family's 1533-position model. The record is from RNAcentral.